RNAcentral lists this ribosomal RNA (1400 nucleotides) under Staphylococcus aureus. Its description in RNAcentral is "partial 23S ribosomal RNA". It matches the Rfam family "Bacterial large subunit ribosomal RNA", at positions 1525 to 2925 of the family's 2925-position model. The record is from RNAcentral. Lineage: Bacteria; Bacillati; Bacillota; Bacilli; Caryophanales; Staphylococcaceae.
CUGAGUAUUAGGCAAAUCCGGUACUCGUUAAGGCUGAGCUGUGAUGGGGAGAAGACAUUGUGUCUUCGAGUCGUUGAUUUCACACUGCCGAGAAAAGCCUCUAGAUAGAAAAUAGGUGCCCGUACCGCAAACCGACACAGGUAGUCAAGAUGAGAAUUCUAAGGUGAGCGAGCGAACUCUCGUUAAGGAACUCGGCAAAAUGACCCCGUAACUUCGGGAGAAGGGGUGCUCUUUAGGGUUAACGCCCAGAAGAGCCGCAGUGAAUAGGCCCAAGCGACUGUUUAUCAAAAACACAGGUCUCUGCUAAACCGUAAGGUGAUGUAUAGGGGCUGACGCCUGCCCGGUGCUGGAAGGUUAAGAGGAGUGGUUAGCUUCUGCGAAGCUACGAAUCGAAGCCCCAGUAAACGGCGGCCGUAACUAUAACGGUCCUAAGGUAGCGAAAUUCCUUGUCGGGUAAGUUCCGACCCGCACGAAAGGCGUAACGAUUUGGGCACUGUCUCAACGAGAGACUCGGUGAAAUCAUAGUACCUGUGAAGAUGCAGGUUACCCGCGACAGGACGGAAAGACCCCGUGGAGCUUUACUGUAGCCUGAUAUUGAAAUUCGGCACAGCUUGUACAGGAUAGGUAGGAGCCUUUGAAACGUGAGCGCUAGCUUACGUGGAGGCGCUGGUGGGAUACUACCCUAGCUGUGUUGGCUUUCUAACCCGCACCACUUAUCGUGGUGGGAGACAGUGUCAGGCGGGCAGUUUGACUGGGGCGGUCGCCUCCUAAAAGGUAACGGAGGCGCUCAAAGGUUCCCUCAGAAUGGUUGGAAAUCAUUCAUAGAGUGUAAAGGCAUAAGGGAGCUUGACUGCGAGACCUACAAGUCGAGCAGGGUCGAAAGACGGACUUAGUGAUCCGGUGGUUCCGCAUGGAAGGGCCAUCGCUCAACGGAUAAAAGCUACCCCGGGGAUAACAGGCUUAUCUCCCCCAAGAGUUCACAUCGACGGGGAGGUUUGGCACCUCGAUGUCGGCUCAUCGCAUCCUGGGGCUGUAGUCGGUCCCAAGGGUUGGGCUGUUCGCCCAUUAAAGCGGUACGCGAGCUGGGUUCAGAACGUCGUGAGACAGUUCGGUCCCUAUCCGUCGUGGGCGUAGGAAAUUUGAGAGGAGCUGUCCUUAGUACGAGAGGACCGGGAUGGACAUACCUCUGGUGUACCAGUUGUCGUGCCAACGGCAUAGCUGGGUAGCUAUGUGUGGACGGGAUAAGUGCUGAAAGCAUCUAAGCAUGAAGCCCCCCUCAAGAUGAGAUUUCCCAACUUCGGUUAUAAGAUCCCUCAAAGAUGAUGAGGUUAAUAGGUUCGAGGUGGAAGCAUGGUGACAUGUGGAGCUGACGAAUACUAAUCGAUCGAAGACUUAAUCAA